Mandrillus leucophaeus (drill) is the source of this 519-nucleotide RNA transcript. It is a transcript of the gene named 40S ribosomal protein S25 pseudogene, with no coding region annotated. NCBI's taxonomy places the organism in Eukaryota, Metazoa, Chordata, Mammalia, Primates, Cercopithecidae. The transcript is spliced from 2 exons. The record is from RefSeq and is a predicted model, not a curated record.
AUGUCUUCUGGACUUGCACUUUAUUUCUUCUCGCUCAGACGAGGCUGCUGUGUCCGCUGCUGCUCUGCAAGCUUCGCAAGGCCACCCAAGGAUGACAAGAGGAAGAAGGAUGCUGGAAAGUCAGCCAAGAAAGACAAAGACCCAGUGAACAAAUCCGGGGGCAAGGCCAAAAAGAAGAAGCGGUCCAAAGGCAAAGUUCGGGACAAGCUCAAUAACUUGGUCUUGUUUGACAAAGCUACCUACGACAAACUCUGUAAGGAAGUUCCCAACUAUAAACUAUAACCCCAGCUAUGGUCUCUGAGAGACUGAAGAUUCGAGGUUCCCUGGCCAGGGCAGCCCUUCAGGAGCUCCUUAGUAAAGGACUUAUCAAACUGGUUUCAAAGUACAGAGCUCAAGUAAUUUACACCAGAAAUACCAAGGGCGGAGAUGCUCCAGCUGCUGGUGAAGAUGCAUGAAUAGGUCCAACCAACUGUACAUUUGGAAAAAUAAAACUUUAUUCAAUCAAAAAAAAAAAAAAAA